CGCCCGCGUGCCCGCAGGUGGCCCUGCUGCUGCUGGUGGCCGUGGUGCCGGCGCUGCGGAUCGUGCGGGCGGGGCUGGGCGCGGACGUGGUGCUGCUGCUGGUGCAGCUGGGGCUGGUGCCCUCGCGGGGCACGGCCGCGCCCGGGCACCUGGAGCAGGAGCUGCGCACCGCCCGCCACUUCCUCUGGGCGCUGGAGGUGUGCUACAUCUUCUCGCUGGCGCUGUGCUGCCUGCUCACCUGCGCCAUGCUGCUCCGGAGCCUGGCCAUGCACAGGUCCAACCUGCGGGCGCUCUACCAGGGCGCCGUGCUGGACGUCUUUUCCAAGGCCCACAUCCUGCGGCCUUCCCGGGAAUCCCUUGUCAGCUGGAUGGCCUUCUCCAGCUUCCAGGCGGCCU
This 396-nucleotide long non-coding RNA is filed under the name Chloebia gouldiae (Gouldian finch). RNAcentral describes it as "Erythrura gouldiae (Gouldian finch) lncRNA (ENSEGOG00005018228.1)". Lineage: Eukaryota; Metazoa; Chordata; Aves; Passeriformes; Passeridae. The record is from RNAcentral.